GAUAUGGAUAUACUUGAUACUUUGCUGCAAACAAGUAUAUAUGCACCUAAAACAAAACAAUUCCUCCAUAAAUAAUACGGUGAUUAGGAAAGACAUUAACUACAGUACUCUAUUAUUAAUUUAAUGAGGAAAUGAAAGCAAGUACAUGGUAGCUAAUAAAGAGUCUGUAGAGGGAACACCGCGGAUAAUGAGAUUCAGUGACUUUGCAAAUCCUACAUCAACAUCAGCAUAUAAAAGCCCUUGAAACUGCAGAGCAACUUGACAGUACCUCUAGAAGACUUCAUUGAAUUUAUGUAGCUGAACAGGAUCUUUAUUAAAUCCAGGAAACAGUUCUCUUGCUCCUUAUAAUGAGAAAAAUCCAUUCAUCAAUCAGUUAAAAGCUGGAAACUCAGACCGUCUGCAGAAUAUUAUUAAUUCUUUUAAUUGCCAAGUUAAACUUUAAUAUUUACCCUGAAUAUUAUUCAAAUGACACUCAAAUGAACGUGCAAACACUAUACAGUGAAGAAUAUAAUCAUUUUUUUUAUAAUUUCAAAUAUUACAUGGUACUCAUAAACAAUGUUUGAAUAAAAAGUUGUAAUCUUUAUAAAUAACUACAUUUAUACAUGUAAUGUGUAUUAAUAUUAAAUAAAAAUUAUCUUGUAAGUUGUUUUUUUUGUUUUGUUUUAUACUACUACAGUGAAAUGUGUGACUUUUUAUAAGUGAAAAAGGUCGUUGCUAGCUUCCCCCCCCCCU
Saccostrea cuccullata (small rock oyster) is the source of this 732-nucleotide long non-coding RNA. RefSeq lists it as uncharacterized. The record is from RefSeq and is a predicted model, not a curated record. Lineage: Eukaryota; Metazoa; Mollusca; Bivalvia; Ostreida; Ostreidae. The transcript is spliced from 2 exons.